This is a transfer RNA of Felis catus (domestic cat), 91 nucleotides long. It matches the Rfam family "tRNA". From Rfam's summary of the family: Transfer RNA (tRNA) molecules are approximately 80 nucleotides in length. Their secondary structure includes four short double-helical elements and three loops (D, anti-codon, and T loops). The record is from Rfam. Lineage: Eukaryota; Metazoa; Chordata; Mammalia; Carnivora; Felidae.
GCCUGGGUGGCUCAGCUGGUUGAGCAUCUGACUUUUGAUUUCAGUUCAGGUCAUGAUCCCAGAGUUGUGGGAUUGAGCCCCACAUUAGGCU